UCGGAUUCAGGAUCAGCCAUGUACUUGAUGGCCAAGACACGGCAUAAAACCAUAGGAGGGAUAGGGAGGUUCUUGAAAUCUACGUGGUCGUAAGCGUUUUCCGCGUGUCCUUGAGGGAAGUAGAAGACUUUGGAGUUCAUAGGUGGCAUACGGACCAUGCCGCCAGCACAUGCAUGCCAUAGCUGUGGAUCUAAACCUUUCUCUGAUCCGCUUUUCAUCGGAUCCAUUACAUUUAUCAUUUCUAACAAAUGUAAUAAUCCCUACAAAUGAAAAUGAAAUAAAAGGAUUAUUAGUUUUUGUUUUGAACAGAGUAGAUAAGACAGAACACAAAAGCAUAUGCUUUUUUUUUUUUGUUUAAAGUACUUUUAACAUGUUAAAAAGCUUUUAGUCUUUUGAAUCAGUCAACUCUCUUAUACCUAACAACCGAGAUUUUCCCGGAAAAAAAAAGUUUCCUGAAAAUCCGACAAAAGGGUUAUGUCUAGAUAGAUUCGGUGAGAGAUUGAAUAUGAUUAUCAAGAAAACUUCAGAUAAUUCAAUAAGAGAUUAAUAACAGUUCAAGUUUAAAAGCCAGCUCAAGGUUGUGUUGCGAGGAAGAUAAAGCAGAAGGUCACAGAUCGGUCAUGUUGAGGAAAACUGAAACAGUAAAACUUCUUCAAAAGUAGAGAGAAGAACAUAGAACAGAUCAAGAUUAAGCUAAUCAAAUUAAAACAUCACACGGAACUGAUUAAAUAUUUAUUAAUAAAGAUGAAAUUCAUACAAGGAUUCGAUCAAACAGAGAAGAUUUAAGACAGAAGUGAAAGACUUUUGUUCAAACCUUGAACAGUAGUAGUAGAUCUGAGACAAGUUCUUGAAGAUUCUGUUCUAAAAAAACCCUUCUCUUGGUUUCUUGAGAAUCUGAAGAUUCUGCAGCUAAGUUUCUGCUUCAGAAUCGGAUAAGAGUUCACUUUUGUUGUACAGAGGGAAAUGAAAAGGGUUCGUGUAUAUGAAGGAGAAAGGUUUGGCUUUCUGGAAAAUAAAAUAAAUAUAUAUAAAAGCCAUUUAUUUUUUCAACUUUCAUUAACUCAUUCACAUGUUAUGAUUUUAAUCAGAUUAAAAAUAAAAAAAAUGUAAUGUUUUAAAUCAUUUAAAUUACGCCCCAAAAAUGGUAACAAUUUGGUAAGUCAAACCCUUGAUUCCGGGCAUAAAAAUCGACAAUACGGAGUGUAAAAAAAAUAUUAUAAAAUUUGAUAUAUAACCUACGUUGCACGGAAGCUUCAUCGGACGUCCGUUUCCCGCUUCGGAACCGGAAUCGGAAUCGGAACCUUGUGGAAGCUCGCGGAAUCUCGCUUCCAAAACGUUUCUAAAAUAUUCUCUUUAAAAACUUGUUGGAAGCUUACGAUUCCGUUUUGGAAUCACGCUUCCGUUUUAAAAAAAAAUGUAAUGUAUAUCAAUAAAAUAUAAAACCAUAGUUUUAAUCUAUAUAAAAUAAAAAAAUUAAUAGAAAUGAAUAUUGAAUUAUACAUAUACAAAUAUUAAAAAUAAUACUAUAAAUCAUCUUUAUGCAUUGAGAUUUUUUUAUUAAAGAUAUAGCACAAAUUGAAAUAUAUUGUGUCAACCAGGCGAAUACUCAGGUCCGUUCCCGAUCCCUCCUCUCUUAGCCCUCCUGAUCCCUACGCAAAGAUCUCCACUCUCAGCUCUCAUGAAAACGAUAGAGUCUCCCGCCACAAGCUUCUUCUGGUUCACGAAGUUACUCCACCCUGUAGUGAGGAGAUGCCGACGCGGCGUCCCUCUGUAGAUAUGUCUGAACUUCCAUACAUCUCCGUGAACAUCUUUGGCGAGAAUGGUCUGAACAGGCGGCUCAGCGUUGUAGUCUAGCCUCGGGAAGAUCGUUUCCGCGCAGUAGCGCGGGACUGAGAAUCCCCCACCGUUGUUAGCAUCGGACUGAGUCAGAGUCUUGGCAAAGGAAGGAGUCUUCUCGCUGUUAGUCUCGAAACCAUUACCUUCUUGACCAUCUCCGUAGUCGUGAUCGUCGUCUUUUAAAGGGAUCAGUCUCAGUUUGGCGAAAACCUCGUCGGAUUCAGGAUCAGCCAUGUACUUGAUGGCCAAGACACGGCAUAAAACCAUAGGAGGGAUAGGGAGGUUCUUGAAAUCUACGUGGUCGUAAGCGUUUUCCGCGUGUCCUUGAGGGAAGUAGAAGACUUUGGAGUUCAUAGGUGGCAUACGGACCAUGCCGCCAGCACAUGCAUGCCAUAGCUGUGGAUCUAAACCUUUCUCUGAUCCGCUUUUCAUCGGAUCCAUUACAUUUAUCAUUUCUAACAAAUGUAAUAAUCCC
This 2311-nucleotide long non-coding RNA is filed under the name Brassica napus (rape). Its description in RNAcentral is "long non-coding RNA (BNAP_LNC003069)". The record is from RNAcentral. Lineage: Eukaryota; Viridiplantae; Streptophyta; Magnoliopsida; Brassicales; Brassicaceae.